CGGGUGACACAGUGACAGAGUGAGGGAGCGGGUGACACAGUGACAGAGUUAGGGAGGGAGUGACUAGUGACAGAGAGAGGGAUGGGGUGACUAGUGACAGUCACCCCCCCCUCACUCUGUCACAGUCAUCCCCUCACUCUGUCACUAGUCACCUCUUCCCUCCCUCACUUUGCCACUAGUCAUCUCUUCCCUCCCUCACUCUGCCACUAGUCACCCAUUCCCUCACUCUGUCACUAGUCACCC
Non-coding RNA from Pelobates cultripes (western spadefoot toad), 243 nucleotides. NCBI's taxonomy places the organism in Eukaryota, Metazoa, Chordata, Amphibia, Anura, Pelobatidae. The record is from the annotation of a GenBank genome assembly.